GGCAGGCCUAAACAUGCAAGUCGAGGGGCAGCACGAUCUUCGGAUUGGUGGCGACCGGCGCACGGGUGCGUAACGCGUAUGCAACCUACCCACAACUGGGGAAUAGCCCGGAGAAAUCCGGAUUAAUACCCCAUAAUGCAGGGGUACCUCCUGGUACUAUUUGCUAAAGAUUUAUCGGUUGUGGAUGGGCAUGCGUCUGAUUAGUUUGUUGGUGAGGUAACGGCUCACCAAGACCACGAUCAGUAGGGGGUCUGAGAGGAUGAUCCCCCACACUGGCACUGAGAUACGGGCCAGACUCCUACGGGAGGCAGCAGUAGGGAAUAUUGGGCAAUGGGCGCAAGCCUGAUCCAGCAAUGCCGCGUGUGUGAAGAAGGCCUGCGGGUUGUAAAGCACUUUUAUCGGGAAAGAAAAACCCAGGGUUAAUACCCCUGGCAUUGACGGUACCCGAGGAAUAAGCACCGGCUAACUCCGUGCCAGCAGCCGCGGUAAUACGGAGGGUGCAAGCGUUAAUCGGAAUUACUGGGCGUAAAGCGAGUGUAGGCGGCUGCGUAUGUCGGAUGUGAAAGCCCUGGGCUCAACCUGGGAAUUGCAUUCGAAACUGCGUAGCUAGAGUCUGAUAGAGGGAAGUGGAAUUCCGGGUGUAGCGGUGAAAUGCGUAAAUAUC
Molecule: ribosomal RNA, 664 nt
Filed under: uncultured Gammaproteobacteria bacterium
Lineage: Bacteria; Pseudomonadati; Pseudomonadota; Gammaproteobacteria
Description: bacterial SSU rRNA
Rfam family: Bacterial small subunit ribosomal RNA
Source: RNAcentral